This 742-nucleotide ribosomal RNA is filed under the name uncultured bacterium. Its description in RNAcentral is "bacterial SSU rRNA". It matches the Rfam family "Bacterial small subunit ribosomal RNA", at positions 8 to 796 of the family's 1533-position model. The record is from RNAcentral.
AGAGUUUGAUCCUGGCUCAGAGCGAACGCUGGCGGCAGGCCUAACACAUGCAAGUCGAACGGAUCCUUCGGGAUUAGUGGCGGACGGGUGAGUAACACGUGGGAACGUGCCCUUUGGUUCGGAACAACUCAGGGAAACUUGAGCUAAUACCGGAUGUGCCCUUCGGGGGAAAGAUUUAUCGCCAUUGGAGCGGCCCGCGUCUGAUUAGCUAGUUGGUGAGGUAAAGGCUCACCAAGGCGACGAUCAGUAGCUGGUCUGAGAGGAUGAUCAGCCACAUUGGGACUGAGACACGGCCCAAACUCCUACGGGAGGCAGCAGUGGGGAAUCUUGCGCAAUGGGCGAAAGCCUGACGCAGCCAUGCCGCGUGAAUGAUGAAGGUCUUAGGAUUGUAAAAUUCUUUCACCGGGGACGAUAAUGACGGUACCCGGAGAAGAAGCCCCGGCUAACUUCGUGCCAGCAGCCGCGGUAAUACGAAGGGGGCUAGCGUUGCUCGGAAUUACUGGGCGUAAAGGGAGCGUAGGCGGACUGUUUAGUCAGAGGUGAAAGCCCAGGGCUCAACCUUGGAAUUGCCUUUGAUACUGGCAGUCUUGAGUACGGAAGAGGUAUGUGGAACUCCGAGUGUAGAGGUGAAAUUCGUAGAUAUUCGGAAGAACACCAGUGGCGAAGGCGACAUACUGGUCCGUUACUGACGCUGAGGCUCGAAAGCGUGGGGAGCAAACAGGAUUAGAUACCCUGGUAGUCC